This 253-nucleotide ribosomal RNA is filed under the name uncultured bacterium. RNAcentral's name for it is "partial 16S ribosomal RNA". It matches the Rfam family "Bacterial small subunit ribosomal RNA", at positions 524 to 776 of the family's 1533-position model. The record is from RNAcentral.
UACGUAGGGGGCAAGCAUUGUCCGGAUUUAUUGGGCGUAAAGAGCGUGUAGGCGGUUUGGUAGGUCCGCUGUGAAAACUCGAGGCUCAACCUCGAGACGCCGGUGGAAACCAUCAGGCUAGAGUCCGGAAGAGGAGAGUGGAAUUCCUGGUGUAGCGGUGAAAUGCGCAGAUAUCAGGAAGAACACCCGUGGCUAAGGCGGCUCUCUAGUACGUUACUGACGCUGAGACGCGAAAGCGUGGGGAGCGAACAGG